Molecule: long non-coding RNA, 448 nt
Filed under: Setaria viridis
Lineage: Eukaryota; Viridiplantae; Streptophyta; Magnoliopsida; Poales; Poaceae
Description: long non-coding RNA (SVIR_LNC003702)
Source: RNAcentral
UUGGAGCACUUCAUGGUCAGAUAAAUGGUGAUGAGGAGGUCGAAAUAGUUGCAGCUGUGCAUCUCAUGUUCUGCUAUCUAGGAGUGAGAUGCACCAGGAAUGUGGGUUGGACAGGAACUGUUGAUUGCAAAAUUUGGCAUCUCGUCACAUCCAGAGAACUUACCUUCCAUCCAACCCUUUUUAUCCCGGUUGACUUUGGACCUAGGAAUAAAGAGCUUUUAGUCCCGGAUCAAAAAUGAACCACUGACGGGAUCUUUCCAACCAGGACUAAGGCCCACCUUAAUCCCUAUCAUGCUCCCUUCUCCCUCUCUCCACCUUAUCUUCUCCUCCUCUCCUUUUCUCCCUUAUCCUCUCCCGGCCCGCCCUCUCCCUUCCCUCUUGCCACCGCCGCCUCCCCUUCCCUCUCUCAGUCCGCCCCCUCCCCUUCCCACUCACCACCGUAGCCCCC